This 480-nucleotide ribosomal RNA is filed under the name uncultured bacterium. RNAcentral describes it as "partial 16S ribosomal RNA". It matches the Rfam family "Bacterial small subunit ribosomal RNA", at positions 28 to 507 of the family's 1533-position model. The record is from RNAcentral.
GAUGAACGCUGGCGGCGUGCUUAACACAUGCAAGUCGAACGAAGCAUUUAAGACAGAUUCCUUCGGUUUGAAGUCUUUUAUGACUGAGUGGCGGACGGGUGAGUAACGCGUGGGUAACCUGCCUCAUACAGGGGGAAGCCGCCGGAAACGGGCGGUUAUAACGCCUUAACGCCCAGUUACACAUUGUAACGUGUGAAAAACCUCCGUGGUAUGAGAUGGACCCGCGUCUGAUUAGCUUGUUGGCGGGGUAACGGCCCACCAAGGCGACGAUCAGUAGCCGACCUGAGAGGGUGACCGGCCACAUUGGGACUGAGACACGGCCCAGACUCCUACGGGAGGCAGCAGUGGGGAAUAUUGCACAAUGGAGGAAACUCUGAUGCAGCGACGCCGCGUGAGUGAAGAAGUAGUUCGCUAUGUAAAGCUCUAUCAGCAGGGAAGAUAGUGACGGUACCUGACUAAGAAGCUCCGGCUAAAUACGUG